Molecule: non-coding RNA, 102 nt
Filed under: Ornithorhynchus anatinus (platypus)
Lineage: Eukaryota; Metazoa; Chordata; Mammalia; Monotremata; Ornithorhynchidae
Source: RNAcentral
CCGCCUUGAGAAAGGAGAGAAGGUUAGCACUCCCCUUGAGAGGUAUAUGGUAUAUGGUUAAGGCAUUGACAGCUACUUCGUGGCAUCUAACCAAGUUUUUAU